RNAcentral lists this non-coding RNA (143 nucleotides) under Megamonas hypermegale. The record is from RNAcentral. Lineage: Bacteria; Bacillati; Bacillota; Negativicutes; Selenomonadales; Selenomonadaceae.
GGUGCGUUAGCUUAAUAAGGAAACCGGAAAGCCGGUACGGUCCCGCCACUGUAAGGGGAGCUUGCUUCAAUUAUGUCACUGAAUUGUAUUUGGGAAGGCGAAGUACAGCGAAGAACCUAAGUCAGGAGACUUGCCUGUUGGGA